UACGUAGGGGGCAAGCGUUAUCCGGAUUUACUGGGUGUAAAGGGAGCGUAGACGGCGAUGCAAGCCAGAUGUGAAAGCCCGGGGCUCAACCCCGGGACUGCAUUUGGAACUGUGUGGCUGGAGUGUCGGAGAGGCAAGUGGAAUUCCUAGUGUAGCGGUGAAAUGCGUAGAUAUCACGCAGAACCCCGAUUGCGAAGGCAGCCUUCCGGCGCCCUACUGACGCUGAGGCACGAAAGUGCGGGGAUCGAACAGG
This 253-nucleotide ribosomal RNA is filed under the name uncultured bacterium. RNAcentral's name for it is "partial 16S ribosomal RNA". It matches the Rfam family "Bacterial small subunit ribosomal RNA", at positions 524 to 776 of the family's 1533-position model. The record is from RNAcentral.